Molecule: long non-coding RNA, 1668 nt
Organism: Mercenaria mercenaria
Lineage: Eukaryota; Metazoa; Mollusca; Bivalvia; Venerida; Veneridae
Exons: 5
Source: RefSeq, a predicted model, not a curated record
GUAGCGUUGUUAUAAAGUCCUCUACCAAUUCUAUACAUAUAGAGUCCCUUUUAGGGCCACUAGAGCUUAAGUUACAUAUACCUUUAAAUGAUCCACUUUGUUCAAAUGGGGAUGAUUGGCCCCUUUUAGGGACUACCAGAGCUAAAAAUUACAAAAGCCUUUAAAUGACUCCUUCUGAUGAUCCACUUGAUUGAUCUUCAUCAAACUUGAUUUUUAGCAUCAUUAUGAAAGUCAUUCACCAAUAGUGUUUAGUUGUGGGCACACUUGAACCUUUUACACGGGUGAGUGCUUUAGAGUCGAUGACUGUGUUGUUAGACAAUUUCUCAAAACCGUUAACAUGUAUUGCUUUGAAACCUUGUAGGAUAGUUCAAAAACUCAUUUUACACCCAAUGUUGAGUACUCGCCAGCUAGUGAACUUAACCUUGAAUAAUAAAUGAUCCCUGUUUUUCUUGAGGUCAGCAGUGAAUUUCUUACUUAAAAUGUUUUCCUUUUCAUUUAUAAGUAGGGAAGGCUUGGACCUACUGUGAUCAAACUAUAUAGGGUAAUUGUCUGCAUCCUGAAGAUGAUCUCUAAUAUUUUGGGUGCUAUGUAGGUCAAAGGUCAAGGUUACAUUGAUCUUUAAACUGAAUCAGUAAAUGGAUAAGACUUAGGACUGUAGAGGUCAAAUAUUUAAGGAUAUUUGCCUGUAUUCAGUAGAUGACUCCUUGAGAUCAGGGUGGAUUUGAGACUGAAAACAGUUUUUCUGAGAGCUUUGUCUUAUAGAGUGAAACAUCAAAGAAUGAUUGCCUGUGGUCAGUAGUUGCCAUUUAGGUCAAAGAUCAAGAAAUUUUCACUUUAAGGGUGAAAAUAAUUCCAAGUUAAUAAGUGUAGAUGGCUAAUGGUUGUCAAAAUAACACACCUGUGACAGGCCAUCAUGGGAGCAUUUUUACAAACACCUCUUGUAUUUAUUAAAAUUAUUUUUUUGUUUAUUGCCAUAAUUUAUUAUCUUCAGUCUCCUUCACAGGAAGUGGCUAUGUAAAGGACAUUGAUAUAAAGACAUUGCUGGAUGUAUUUACUGGUGGCAGCUUCAGAUCAACAGAAGUGUUUGGGGUAGCAGUAUUUACCACUAUUGACCUGGAAACCACUGACCUAAAUUUGUUGAUGAGAUCUAUAAGAAAGGAUACCACUGUCAGUAUGGAGGGAAAUGGACUUGAUGCUUAGAAGGAAGCGGAGAUGUCAGAUUCCUCUUCAUCUCCAAGUCACCAUGACAACAAACAGCAACAUGAAAGGGGUGACAGUAUGGUUGAAAGUGACUUAAAAAACCAUAUUGCAAAUCAAGGAGUCAUCUUUGUUUUUUUUCUCUUGACACCAGAUGUGAAGGCAGCCAGGUUAAAAACGAGACACAAUUACUACAGAAUUACAGAUAUGGAAUCUGAAAGAUUGUGUGAGUGAUGUUAUUGUAUCUCAGGACAUGCAUCGUGCCACACAGGAGAGGUUCAUACUGAUAGAAGACAAAGAAAGGAGGCCAAAGACUGAAAUGCCAAGAUGAUUGCAUUGGUACCUAAGUUGUUUGAGAGGGACUCGAUUGCAGUGGACUGGAUAUAUAAUCAUAUUAAACUCAUUCGAGGAAGUGGUUAGAGAUAACUUAGCAAAGCCAGAAAGUCGGGUCAAGUUUGAGCUACUGGACAA